This 633-nucleotide ribosomal RNA is filed under the name uncultured bacterium. Its description in RNAcentral is "bacterial SSU rRNA". The stretch from base 1 to 542 matches the Rfam family "Bacterial small subunit ribosomal RNA", at positions 338 to 873 of the family's 1533-position model. The record is from RNAcentral.
CCUACGGGAGGCAGCAGUGGGGAAUUUUGGACAAUGGGGGCAACCCUGAUCCAGCAAUGCCGCGUGAGUGAAGAAGGCCUUCGGGUUGUAAAGCUCUUUUGUCAGGGAAGAAACGGUGUUUCCUAAUACGGAAUGCUAAUGACGGUACCUGAAGAAUAAGCACCGGCUAACUACGUGCCAGCAGCCGCGGUAAUACGUAGGGUGCAAGCGUUAAUCGGAAUUACUGGGCGUAAAGCGUGCGCAGGCGGUUUUAUAAGUCUGAUGUGAAAUCCCCGGGCUCAACCUGGGAACUGCAUUGGAGACUGUAAGGCUAGAGUGUGUCAGAGGGGGGUAGAAUUCCACGUGUAGCAGUGAAAUGCGUAGAUAUGUGGAGGAAUACCGAUGGCGAAGGCAGCCCCCUGGGAUAACACUGACGCUCAUGCACGAAAGCGUGGGGAGCAAACAGGAUUAGAUACCCUGGUAGUCCACGCCCUAAACGAUGUCUACUAGUUGUCGGGUCUUAAUUGACUUGGUAACGCAGCUAACGCGUGAAGUAGACCGCCUGGGGGAGGUACGGUCGCGAGAAGUUAAACUAACAAUAGAAGUUAGACGGCGUGAGACGUGACCGAACGGACGACGACGAGGGAGGUUAGG